RNAcentral lists this ribosomal RNA (301 nucleotides) under uncultured bacterium. RNAcentral describes it as "partial 16S ribosomal RNA". It matches the Rfam family "Bacterial small subunit ribosomal RNA", at positions 509 to 807 of the family's 1533-position model. The record is from RNAcentral.
CAGUCGCCGCGGUAAUACGGAGGGUCCGAGCGUUAAUCGGAAUUACUUGGCGUAAAGCGUGCGCAGGCGGUUUGUUAAGCGAGAUGUGAAAGCCCUGGGCUCAACCUAGGAAUAGCAUUUCGAACUGGCGAACUAUAGUCUUGUAGAGGGGGGUAGAAUUCCAGGUGUAGCGGUGAAAUGCGUAUAGAUCUGGAGGAAUACCGGUGGCGAAGGCGGCCCCCUGGACAAAGACUGACGCUCAUGCACGAAAGCGUGGGGAGCAAACAGGAUUAGAUACCCCUGUAGUCCCUGUCUCUUAUAC